RNAcentral lists this transfer RNA (73 nucleotides) under Mus musculus (house mouse). RNAcentral describes it as "tRNA-Ser". Lineage: Eukaryota; Metazoa; Chordata; Mammalia; Rodentia; Muridae. The record is from RNAcentral.
GGAGAGAUGGCUCAGUGGUUAAGAGCACUGACUGCUCUUCCAGAGGUCCUGAAUUCAACUCCCAGCCACUACA